UGUAGUCAUAUGCUUGUCUCAAAGAUUAAGCCAUGCACGUCUGAGAAUAAAGAGUUUUCUCUGAAUCUGCGAAUGGCUCAUUAUAUCAGUUAUAGUUUAUUUGAUAGUCCCUUACUACUUGGAUAACCGUAGUAAUUCUAGAGCUAAUACAUGCAUCAAACCCCAACUGCUUGUCGGAAGGGGUGUAUUUAUUAGAUAGAAACCAAUGCGGGGCAACCCGGUAUUGUGGUGAAUCAUGAUAACUUUGCGGAUCGCAGACCUCGUGUCGGCGACGAAUCAUUCAAGUUUCUGCCCUAUCAGCUUUGGAUGGUAGGGUAUUGGCCUACCAUGGCUCCAACGGGUAACGGGGAAUG
Molecule: ribosomal RNA, 353 nt
Filed under: uncultured fungus
Lineage: Eukaryota; Fungi
Description: SSU rRNA
Rfam family: Eukaryotic small subunit ribosomal RNA
Source: RNAcentral